UACGGAGGGGGCCAGCGUUGUUCGGAAUUACUGGGCGUAAAGCGCGCGUAGGCGGCUUUGUAAGUUAGAGGUGAAAGCCCAGGGCUCAACCCUGGAAUUGCCUUUAAGACUGCAUCGCUUGAACAUCGGAGAGGUAAGUGGAAUUCCGAGUGUAGAGGUGAAAUUCGUAGAUAUUCGGAAGAACACCAGUGGCGAAGGCGACUUACUGGACGAUUGUUGACGCUGAGGUGCGAAAGCGUGGGGAGCAAACAGG
RNAcentral lists this ribosomal RNA (253 nucleotides) under uncultured bacterium. RNAcentral describes it as "partial 16S ribosomal RNA". It matches the Rfam family "Bacterial small subunit ribosomal RNA", at positions 524 to 776 of the family's 1533-position model. The record is from RNAcentral.